GGGUUGAUGCUUCUAUGGGUCUCAAUAGAUCUCAAUGGAAGUCAAUGGGUCUCUAUGGGUUCCUUAUGGGGUGGCUGUAGGGCCAGAUGGUUAUGGGGCGGUUAUGGGGCGGUUAUGGGGUCCCUAUGGGGUCUCUAUGGGGUCUCUAUGGGGCUGAUGCUUCUAUGGAUCUCCAUGGAUCUCAAUGGAUCUCAAUGGAACUCAAUGGAUCUCUAUGGAAGUCAGUGGGUCUCUAUGGGUUCCUUAUGGGGUGGCUGUAGGGCCAGGGGGUUAUGGGGCGGUUAUGGGGUCUCUAUGGGGUCUCUAUGGGGCUGAUGCUUCUAUGGGUCUCCAUGGAUCUCAAUGGGUUUCUAUGGAUCUCAAUGGAACUCAAUGGAUCUCAAUGGAAGUCAAUGGGUCUCAAUGGAAGUCAAUGGGUCUCUAUAGGGUCUCUAUGGGGCGGCUAUGGGGCAGUUAUGGGGCAGUUAUGGGUCUCUAUGGGGUCUCUAUGGGGUCUCUAUGGGGCAGCUAUGGGGCUGAUGCUUCUAUGGGCCUCCAUAGAUCUCAAUGGGUUCCUAUGGAUCUCAAUGAACUCAAUGGCUCUCUAUGGGGUCUCUAUAGGGCAGCUAUGGGGUGGCUAUGGGGCAGCUAUGGGGUCUCUAUGGGGUUCCUAUGGGGUCUCUAUGGGUCUCUAUGGGUCUCUAUGGGGUCUCUAUGGGGUCUCUAUGGGGCUGAUGCUUCUAUGGGUCUCCAUGGAUCUCUUCUAUGGAUGUCAAUGGAACUCAAUGGAUCUCAAUGGAAGUCAAUGGGUCUCAAUGGAAGUCAAUGGGUCCCUAUGGGGUCUCUAUGGGGUCUCUAUGGGGCAGCUAUGGGGCGGCUAUGGGGCAGCUAUGGGGCGGCUAUGGGGCAGCUAUGGGUCACACCUUUCCGGGCGGCAGCAGCACCCUGGCUGCGAUGUCCCAGGUGUGUGAAAAAACCACGGGGCUGAAGUGCGACACGAAGGGUUUGUGGCGCCCGCCUUCCUGGGCGCUCAGCACGUACACCUGGGGGCCGGCGGACGGACGGACGGACGCUGACGGACCGGCGGACGGACGCCAGGCAGACCCCACAGCUCACCCCAAUAAGGACCCCAGGAACAACAGCCACCCCACAAACACAGAACCCCACAAAUGACCCCAGAAUCCCAGAAUCCCAUGGCUGACCCCAUAACCGACCCCAUAACCCCAUAACCGACCCCAUAACCCCAUAACCCACCCCAUAACUCCACAACCCACCCUAGAACCCCAGAACCCAUAGGUGAUCCCAUAACCAACCCAUAACCCCAUAACCAACCCGAUAACCCCAUAAACAAUCCCAGAACCCCAUAACCGACCCCAGAACCCCAGAACCCAUAGGUUACCCCAUAAGCAACCCCAUAACCCCAUAACCAACCCCAUAACCCCAGAACCAAUUCCAUAAUCCCAUAACCCACCCCAGAACCCCAGAACCCAUAGGUGACCUCAUAACCAACCCCAUAACCCCAUAACUGACCCCAGAACCACGGACGCUGACGGACGGACGGACGCCAGGCAGACCCCACAGCUCACCCCAAUAAGGACCCCAGGAACAACAGCCACCCCACAAACACAGAAACCCCACAACUGACC
Phasianus colchicus (ring-necked pheasant) is the source of this 1625-nucleotide long non-coding RNA. Lineage: Eukaryota; Metazoa; Chordata; Aves; Galliformes; Phasianidae. The record is from Ensembl.